This 242-nucleotide ribosomal RNA is filed under the name uncultured bacterium. RNAcentral's name for it is "partial 16S ribosomal RNA". It matches the Rfam family "Bacterial small subunit ribosomal RNA", at positions 524 to 763 of the family's 1533-position model. The record is from RNAcentral.
UACGAAGGGUGCAAGCGUUAAUCGGAAUUACUGGGCGUAAAGCGCGCGUAGGUGGUUCAGCAAGUUGGAUGUGAAAGCCCUGGGCUCAACCUGGGAACUGCAUCCAAAACUACUGAGCUAGAGUACGGUAGAGGGUAGUGGAAUUUCCUGUGUAGCGGUGAAAUGCGUAGAUAUAGGAAGGAACACCGAGUGGCGAAGGCGACUACCUGGACUGAUACUGACACUGAGGUAGCGAAAGGCGU